GGGGUUAUAGCUCAGUUGGUAGAGCGCUGCGUUCGCAAUGCAGAGGUCAGGGGUUCGACCCCCCUUAACUCCACCA
RNAcentral lists this transfer RNA (76 nucleotides) under Alphaproteobacteria bacterium. Its description in RNAcentral is "tRNA-Ala". It matches the Rfam family "tRNA". From Rfam's summary of the family: Transfer RNA (tRNA) molecules are approximately 80 nucleotides in length. Their secondary structure includes four short double-helical elements and three loops (D, anti-codon, and T loops). Further hydrogen bonds mediate the characteristic L-shaped molecular structure. tRNAs have two regions of fundamental functional importance: the anti-codon, which is responsible for specific mRNA codon recognition, and the 3' end, to which the tRNAs corresponding amino acid is attached (by aminoacyl-tRNA synthetases). tRNAs cope with the degeneracy of the genetic code in two manners: having more than one tRNA (with a specific anti-codon) for a particular amino acid; and 'wobble' base-pairing, i.e. permitting non-standard base-pairing at the 3rd anti-codon position. Lineage: Bacteria; Pseudomonadati; Pseudomonadota; Alphaproteobacteria. The record is from RNAcentral.